RNAcentral lists this ribosomal RNA (1431 nucleotides) under uncultured bacterium. RNAcentral describes it as "bacterial SSU rRNA". It matches the Rfam family "Bacterial small subunit ribosomal RNA". The record is from RNAcentral.
GAGUUUGAUCCUGGCUCAGAGUGAACGCUGGCGGCGUGCCUAAUACAUGCAAGUCGAACGCGAAAGUCCUUCGGGAUGAGUAAAGUGGCGCACGGGUGAGUAAUACAUGGGAACAUGCCCUUAGAUGGGGAAUAACGUUUGGAAACGAACGCUAAUACCGCAUAAUCUCGCGAGAGUAAAGGUGGCGCCGUAAGGGCUACCGUCUAAGGAUUGGCCCAUGUCCCAUUAGCUAGUUGGCGGGGUAAUGGCCCACCAAGGCAACGAUGGGUAUGUGGUCUGAGAGGAUGAUCACACACACUGGAACUGAGACACGGUCCAGACUCCUACGGGAGGCAGCAGUAGGGAAUAUUGCACAAUGGGGGAAACCCUGAUGCAGCAACGCCGCGUGAGUGAAGAAGGCCCUUGGGUUGUAAAGCUCUUUAGCGAGGGAAGAAGGUAGAUAUGGUGAAUAAUCAUGUUUGCUGACGGUACCUCGAGAAUAAGCACCGGCUAAUUUCGUGCCAGCAGCCGCGGUAAUACGAAAGGUGCAAGCGUUACUCGGAAUCACUGGGCGUAGAGCGCACGUAGGCGGACCCGUAGGUCAAUUGUGAAAUACCUGGGCUCAACCCGGGAACUGCAGUUGAAACCGCUUGUCUUGAAUACCUGAGAGGGUGGGGGAAUACCUGGUGGAGAAGUGAAAUUCGUAGAGAUCAGGUGGAACACCGGAGGCGAAGGCGCCUGCCUGGCAGUGUAUUGACACUGAGGUGCGAAAGUGCGGGGAGCAAACAGGAUUAGAUACCCUGGUAGUCCGCACCGUAAACGAUGGAUACUAGGCGUUCGGAGAGUUAACCCUCUGAGUGCCAAAGUUCACACAUUAAGUAUCCCGCCUGGGAAGUACGGUCGCAAGACUAAAACUCAAGGAAUUGACGGGGGCCCGCACAAGCGGUGGAGUAUGUGGUUUAAUUCGAAGCAACGCGCAGAACCUUACCUGGCCUUGACAUCGCGAGACCGGUGCAGAGAUGUACCUUUCCCUUCGGGGACUCGUAGACAGGUGCUGCAUGGCUGUCGUCAGCUCGUGUUGUGAAAUGUUCGGUUAAGUCCGGCAACGAGCGCAACCCCUGUUCUCAGUUACCAGCAUUAAGUUGGGGACUCUGGGAAGACCGCCGGUGUUAAACCGGAGGAAGGCGGGGAUGACGUCAAGUCCUCAUGGCCCUUACGGCCAGGGCUACACACGUACUACAAUGGUAGAAACAGACGGCUGCAAGACCGCAAGGUGGAGCUAAUCCGUAAAACACUAUCUCAGUCCGGAUUGAGGUCUGCAACUCGACCUCAUGAAGUUGGAAUCGCUAGUAAUCGCAGAUCAGCACGCUGCGGUGAAUACGUUCCCGGGCCUUGUACACACCGCCCGUCACACCACGAAAGUGGUCUUAACCAGAAGUGAGUGAGCCAACC